This 433-nucleotide ribosomal RNA is filed under the name uncultured bacterium. RNAcentral describes it as "partial 16S ribosomal RNA". It matches the Rfam family "Bacterial small subunit ribosomal RNA", at positions 29 to 507 of the family's 1533-position model. The record is from RNAcentral.
AACGAACGCUGGCGGCAUGCCUAACACAUGCAAGUCGAACGAGACCUUCGGGUCUAGUGGCGCACGGGUGCGUAACGCGUGGGAGCCUGCCCUUAGGUUCGGAAUAACUCCCCGAAAGGGGUGCUAAUACCGGAUAAUGUCUUCGGACCAAAGAUUUAUCGCCUUUGGAUGGGCCCGCGUUGGAUUAGCUCGUGGGUAGGGUAAAAGACUACCAAGGCGACGAUCCAUAGCUGGGCUGUGAGGAUGGUCAGCCACACUUGGACUGAGACACGGCCCAGACUCCUACGGGAUGCAGCAGUGGGUAAUAUUGCACAAUGGGCGAAAUCCUGAUCCAGCAAUGCCGCGUGAGUGAUGAAGGCCUUAGGGUUGUAAAGCUCUUUUACCCGGGAUGAUAAUGACAGUACCGGGAGAAUAAGCUCCGGCUAACUCCGUG